UUUUAUGUGGUCCGAGUUGAGAGUCCCUUCAAUGCCAUCUUGGGGAGACCUGUUCUCACUGCUUUCGAAGCCAUUGCCUCUAUUCCCCAUCUUAAGUUGAAGUUCCCGACCGAAAAGGGGGUGGGAGAGAUGAGAGGUGAUCAGAAGGCAGCUAGGAUCAUUAUGCUGGAAGACUUGGAGAAAGAAAAGGAUCUAGGUGGCGCCGAAGGAAACAAACGGCGCCGAACCGAAGAUGGUCCUGGGGGCAGCGGCCAUGCCCUCCAUAUUGAGUUGGAGAAGUUUGGAAAUGAUCUCUCAAACCCGAUAGCCGAACCGGGCACCGAAACCGAAGAGGUGGAAUUGUAUGCAGGGUGCUCGGGAAAAAUGGUUCGGAUCGGUAAAGAUAUGGAGCCAGGGUUGAAGGAAAAAGUGAUUGAUGUGGUCCGUCGCUACCAUGAUGUUUUUGCCUGGGGAGUCUUCUAUGUGUCUCAUAUGCUGAGGGAUGCCGAAACCCGAUACCCGAAUGCCGAGAAGUUCGCAUAUGGGCUGGUCAUGGCCUCCCGAAAAUUGCGACACUAUUUUCAAGGGCGAACGAUACAAGUGGUCACCGACCAACCUCUGAAGAAGAUUCUCAGCCGACCGGAGGCUUCGGGCAGAGUCGUCGCCUGGUCUGUAGAAUUGGGGGAAUACGACUUAGAGUAUGUUCCCCGAACAGCCAUUAAAGCCCAAGCCUUGGUUGACUUCAUGGUAGAGUGCCGUUUUUCCGGGCCGACGGACUUGGAACCGAAGGAACAGCUCAUUCGGACUCCUGGUAGGUGGAAGUUGUUUGUGGAUGGGUCGGUGGCCGGGUCAAAAUGUGGGGCCGGAUUGAUCCUUUCUAGUCCCGAUGGAUUUGAGAUUUGUCAAGCCAUCCGGUUCACUUUCCCUUUGACCAACAAUGAGGCCGAGUACGAAGCCCUCUUGGCAGGAGUGGGUCUAGCCAAAAAUCUGGAGGUAAGGCACUUGAGGGCUUUCAGCGACUCCAUGCUGGUUGUCAAGCACUUUUCUGGGGAGUAUGAACAGAAAGAGCCCCGAACGAAGGCUUACGCCGCUAAAGUACGCGAACAAACUCAGUUUUUCGAAACAUUUGAAUUGAGCGCCAUCGGUCGGGAAGACAAUGGCCGCGCCGAUGCUCUCUCUCGAUUAGCCUCGGCCGAAACACAGAAUUUGACGGGGUCCAUCUACUUGACGGAGGUAAAAAUGCCUUCGGUCGACAAGAAAGCUUGCCUGGAAAUUCAUCAAGGCAUAAAUUGGAUGACCCCCAUCAGAGCAUACUUGGAAAAAGGGUUCUUGCCCUUAGAGAAGAAGGAAGCCCAAAAGAUAAAGUACCGAGCAGCUAGCUACACACUGAUCGGGGGCCGACUCUUUAGGCGAUCAGUCUCUCAGCCGCUGCUCCGAUGCUUAGAUCCAGAAGAACAACUUCUAGCCCUGGAGACAGUUCAUGAAGGCAUCUGCGGCGAGCACCUGGCCGGCCGAUCCCUAGCCCUAAAGAUACUCCGACAGGGAUUCUUUUGGCCGACCAUCAGAGAAGAUGCAGCCAACUAUUCAAAGAAAUGCCGACAGUGUCAAAUCCACAGCAAUGUUCCGAAGCAACCCCCGGAAGAAAUGACUUCGGUCCUCAGCCCAAUCCCUUUCUCCAUGUGGGCCAUCGACAUAGUCGGAAUCCUACCAACCAGCACCCGGCAAGCCAAACAUAAAGGUUGCGACAACAAAAGUAUGGAGACCGACCGGUCGAAGACAUACACUAUCUAAGACAUACAUCAGAAACAAAAACAUGUAUGGAGAUAAAACCAAGUAUGAAAAGCAAGCCCGAAGGCAAAAUUAAUUAGAAGCCCGAAGGCGAAAUAUUUAUACAAAGCCCGAAGGCAGAUCGUUUUUACAAAUAAUGGCCCGAAGGCCAAUGAAAGUACAAAAUUAGAAUUACUCCGAGUAGUCAGUCUCGGGAUCGGAUGAAACAACAAGGGGUUCGUCCGGAUCCUCACGGCCGACCGGAUCAGAAGCUCCUUCGUCCAAAAGUAACUUGUGAUCCAAGCCUUCCUUGUGAGCCCGACGGACCGCCUCGUCAUAUCCAAUGUCGAGGAACCGAUCCUCGGUCUUCUCAAGAAGCUUCCUCGUCUUCUUCUCCUUCUUUCGGGCAGCCUUCAACGCCAGGUUGCGGCGCUGAACCCUCCUGGUCAGAGUAUCGACUUGCCCCUUCAGACGGCCUUCCGACUCCCGAAGGUCCUUCAGGUCCUGGUGGGCAGCAUCCAGCUCCGUCUUCAGGGCCGCCAGGGUAUCUUCAGCUAGAUUGGCUCGAAUAGUAAGGGCGUUCACCCCAGCCAUCUGCUUCUGCAUGUCCUGGACCUUAUCAGUCACCGCCGCCGCCCAAGGAGAAGCCUGCACAUAAAUGGACAAGUUAAAAAAGAUAUACCGGGCCCAUAAAGUGGAAGGGACUAAAGGAUGAGAACACUUACCAGAGAUAGGAAGCACAUCAGCUGCUCGCACGCUUGCAGAGCAGUCGCCGACUCAUAGGUCCCCCGGUCGGCCGGCAACAUUUGCGAUCGGCAGAGAUCGCCCGCAACUUCCUUGAUCCGAUCAGGAGCCUGGAUCGCAAUCGAAUCGGUCGCCAAAACCGACCACUCCGGAAUGUAAGGCCGGACCUCCGAUGAACCGUCCGGCCUGUUCCUCUUCCUAGAGGCUUCGGCGGCCGGAAUCUCCACCACCUCGGAGGCUUUCUCAACCGUCCCCUCCGCACGACCAACCUCCGGGGUCUUCUCCUUCGCCACAUCCGCCUGGACUAUGGCACCAACUGUUGUUUCGCCGCGGGCCUUUGCUUCGGCCUCCUUCUUUGCCGCCAUGGCCUUCGCCGUCUUCCUCUUCAGGGCUUCGGUUCGGGAAGACACUGCACAAAGAAGACAGCGUUAAAACAAUAAACAGGUACAAAUCAAGUGAUCAACUAUCGAGGGAAAAGCAAAGAAGAAAUAGAAAGACUACCGUCACUACCCCAAAGAGUGAAGAGCCACUCCUUCUCCCGACUGGUCGACAGCAGAAUCCGGUUCGGCUCCUGGACUUUGUUCAAUUUCUCAAAGUCCUCCAGGUCCUUACCGACCAGAGGGGGAGUGGUGAUGAUGGAGGGGUCUACCUCCCUCCACAGAGAGAACUUGUGGAUCGAGUGACCCCCCAGGUAGAACCACCGUUCGUGGGUACCCUUGUUGCUCGAGUUGGUUUCACACCAAUUCGGUCGGCCGGUCUUGCGGCCGAUGGUAUAAAAGCCAUUGCUCUUGGCGUUUUUCUUGAAAUCAUGAUGAUUCCAGAAGAGAGCUGGCCGAGGAGACACGCCGGCCAUCAGACACCGAUGCUGGAAUACGUUUAUGUACGUAAAUCCGUUCGGGUCCAACUGGCCUAAGGCGAUCCCCGUCUGCUUCAGAAGUUUCUUCAGCAGGGGGAGCAUCGGGAGCCGAAAGCCGCACUUAAAGGCGUUUUCGGAGAUGCCCACACACUUGUGCCCUUCUUCCGACUCAGGUGUUUGGUAGAUACAAUCGCUCUCUAUGGCUGGAUAAAUAUCCCACGACCGAUGUAUCUGGUACUUUAUCCGAAACGACUUCAGAUCCGCUUCGGUCAGUAAGGAAGGAAAGUUGGCCAUAGGAAACUUCAGCACAUCGCUAAAGUGAUCCGCGGCCGAAUAAGACGUCCCGACUAUGUCACCCGACCGAUCCAUUUGCCUGCAAACGAGAGAAGGCAAACAUGAGCCAUGUACUCGGAAAGAAAGAAAAAGAAGAAAAAGAAGCAAGCCCGAGUACAGAGGGCCGAAUCGGGUCGGGCCAGCAGGACUCGACUAACCUAACCCUAGAAAGCCGACUCAGGCAACAAACAUUCAAAACUCAAACAAGAAUUAAAGCACAAAUAACACAAUAAGUGGAGGAAGCGACGGCGACAAGUCACCGGUUAUAAACUCAGAGACCGCCGGAAAACCCCUACUGCGAUCCUGAUCUACGACUACCAGUACAAUGCAAGCACAUAACAAGAACAAAAAACCCCCCAAAAAUCGGUAAGCCGGCGGGACAACUCCUACCAGGAAAGAAAAUACGCAAAGCAACAAAAUACAGUGCACUAACAUCUAGCAGCAUCCUAAACAUAAAGGAUGAUAACUGACAAAGAGGGGAGAACAACUUACUUGUCGUAGAAGAGAUGUGGAGAAAACGGGUGAAAGAAGCCGGAAAAAGAACCACCGCCGGUUAACAACUAUCGCCUGGGAGCAAGAAGCUUGAGAGAAUGGAGAGUUGAGAGGAAAACAAGAGGAUAUUGGAAAUAUGAAAAGAAACGGGUGGUAAUGAUUUGUAUUUAUAAACGAAUUGUGAAAAGGCGCGCCCUAUUAAUGGCACCCUUUGGAAUGCACGGCCCAGAUUCAGCGCGUAUCUCGAGGCCACGCCAUCCGGCGCCCAAACGACACCACGCGUCCAUCGGACCAAGCAUUUUGAAAUCAGACCGAAACAACUGCUCAGCUCCCACUACAGCCUCACCCUGUCGGUCGGUCAAAGACAACUUAGGCUUCGGCCGCGUUUGAAACCCGACCGAAGCCUGAGGAGAUGUUGGGUUAUAAGCCUUUCGGCCCAAUCCAUUACGGCCCAAAGCAGGUCCAGCCCACCGUUUGAACUUAAACGUUACUAUGGCAACGGUCGAGGCGAGAGAAUCCCGCCUCCUUUACUCAUCAUAACUUCCCUCCCGCAUCGGGCGGGAACGUUACAUAGCAGGGCUCCUCCUCCUCCUAUAAAAAGUGGGUAAAUCAGUGGUAAAAUUCAUUCACAACUUUAUACAUUCUUACAUACUCGCUUGCAGUUCUCUAAACCCUUCCUAGAGCCACUAAUUUAUUCUCACACCGGAGGUGAAUCGGGGGGACAAACCCUCGCAUUCUUCUCUGUUUCAGGUCAUACUUCGGCUUUGGUAUCCGGCAGAACUUUGGCUCUAACAUUGGCGCCGUCUGUGGGAAACUGCAAGUAGAAUUUCUCAUAAAUCAACACCAUGACAAACACCACCGAACAAACCACUGGAAAUACCUCCAACCCAAACCCAGGUUUCGACUUUGGCAAUAGUCCCGAAGGGCUGUUGCCCACCCCCGAAGAACAACAGCAGAUGCUGUUGAAAUGGCGAGAAGAGCAGGCUGCUAAAGCCCAAUCUUCCAAGACCAAGGAGCAAGAAGCUGCCCGACUAGCCAAGAAGAGGGAAGCCGACGAACUCCGGCUGAAGGCCCUCCAGCUACAAAGGGAAGAGAUUGAGCUCCAAGAGAGAGCCCUCCGAGAGGCCUUGGAGGCCGAAGGAGAUCGAGUGCCGGAAGGCGAAGGAAAUAAGAAGAGGAAUCGGGAAGACCAAGACGGGUCUUCGGACUCCGAGUCGCAUUCCCGAGGGCCUCGUCACAGGCAUGUCACACCUUCGGAUACCGAAGGAGAGGAAGGUCCCCACGUUAGGGACCGACUUCGCCGAAUGGAGAAGGCCAUGUUUGGGGACAAGACGUUGACCCAUGAGCCAGUGAUAGUCGAGGAGAUCGAGCAAUAUCGGCCGCCCCCGGGUAGACAGUUCCCGAAGAUGAAUGAAUUUAACGGGAAGGGCGACCCGAUCGAUCACUGCGACAAAUACGAGUCCCUGAUGACUGGAAUGGGACAUUGUGACAUCAUGCUAUGCAAGAUGUUUAAGACCUACCUGAAGGGAUCCGCUACGAUGUGGUACCGAUCCCUACGACCAAGGUCGGUCAGUUCUUAUGAUCAAUUGAAACGCAAGUUUUUGAGGCACUACUCUCACUUGUGCCGAAGAGAGAAGGAUACAGAAGCCCUAAUUCAUUGCCGACAGAGACCCAAUGAGGAGUUGGGCGACUACUUGGCCAGGUUCAAGGAAGAAGCUGGGAUGGUCACUAAUCUGGAUAAGGUGAAGGCUGCAGGGUUCCUGACGGCCGGUCUGGAUCCGGUGAAGGGUAAGAAGCUCCGAUCAUCUUUGUAUGAUAUACCCCCUAAAUCGCUGAAUGACAUCUAUUUGCGGGGAGAAAGCAUCAGAAGGAAGAUGGAAUCCAUCGGGGGACACAAGAGCGAUCGGAAAGAUGAUCGGUACAGUUCCCGUUCGGACGGCAGGGGAAAAAGGAAUGAUAGCCACCGAGGCAGGAGAGAUGAAAGGGAUGAAAAGCUGGAUCGGGGGGCCGAACGAAGGAGAGAUAGAGACAGCACUGUGUUCACUCCUCUGAAUACAUCUGUCUCCAAGAUUCUUAACGAAAUUAAAGGAAAACCAGGAUUCGUUCGGCCGCCGAAGAUGAAGAUCCCAGAUUACAAGAAAAACUCUGAUAAGUAUUGCGACUAUCAUCGUGACAACGGGCACAAUACCGAUGAAUGCUACCACUUGAAGAAGUUAAUAGAGAGGAUGGUCAAGGCUGGAGAUUUGAACCAGUAUGUUAAGGAUCUGAGGGAUCGGUUGGGUCCCAAAGAAGAUAAAGGGAAGGCGCCCGAAGAAGGUGAGAGGUACAGAGGUGAGGUCCGAACGAUUUUCGGGGGAACAAUUCUGGACCGAAGUAGCAAAACGGCUAAGAAGAAGUACGCCCGACAGGUCUACAACCUCUAUAGCAUCAACUCCACCAAACAGUCGUAUCCUAUAAUGUUUUCACAAGAAGAUUAUGAGGAUGUUAUGCUGCCGCACGAGGAUCCGUUGGUCAUUAAUCCCGUGAUCGGCCAAAACAAGAUCUGGAAGGUUCUGGUUGACGGGGGAAGUUCUGUUAACGUCCUCUACUACAACACCUACCAGAAGAUGAACCUGGAAGGCAAGCAGAUCGAUACCUGCUAUGAGGCACCCCUCUAUGGCUUCGGCAAUCAGCCGGUCCCGAUCGAAGGUACGAUCCACUUGCCCCUAUUGCUCGGUAAAUCCCCUUAUACUGUGGAAAAACAGGUCAAGUUUUAUGUGGUCCGAGUUGAGAGUCCCUUCAAUGCCAUCUUGGGGAGACCUGUUCUCACUGCUUUCGAAGCCAUUGCCUCUAUUCCCCAUCUUAAGUUGAAGUUCCCGACCGAAAAGGGGGUGGGAGAGAUGAGAGGUGAUCAGAAGGCAGCUAGGAUCAUUAUGCUGGAAGACUUGGAGAAAGAAAAGGAUCUAGGUGGCGCCGAAGGAAACAAACGGCGCCGAACCGAAGAUGGUCCUGGGGGCAGCGGCCAUGCCCUCCAUAUUGAGUUGGAGAAGUUUGGAAAUGAUCUCUCAAACCCGAUAGCCGAACCGGGCACCGAAACCGAAGAGGUGGAAUUAUAUGCAGGGUGCUCGGGAAAAAUGGUUCGGAUCGGUAAAGAUAUGGAGCCAGGGUUGAAGGAAAAAGUGAUUGAUGUGGUCCGUCGCUACCAUGAUGUCUUUGCCUGGGGACCCGAGGAUAUGCCAGGGUUGGAUGAGUCGAUCGCUCGGCACAGGCUAAAUGUUCAUCCUCAGGCUGUGCCCGUGAAGCAGAAGAAGAGGAACUUCGCGGUGGAGAGGCAAAAAGUGAUUGAGGCCGAAGUGGAGAAGUUACUGGAGGCCAAGUUCAUCGAAGAAAUCGAGUAUCCAGAGUGGUUGGCAAAUGUGGUGGUGGUCAAAAAGUCAAACAACAAGUGGAGAAUGUGUGUCGAUUAUACCGACCUCAACAAGAAUUGCCCGAAGGAUCACUAUCCUUUGCCGAACAUCGAUCAGCUGAUAGAUGCCACCUCUGGCUAUCAAAUACUCAGCUUUUUGGAUGCAUUCUCAGGGUAUCAUCAGAUCGCCAUGGAUGCCGAGGAUAUUCCGAAGACAGCAUUCAUCACCCCGAAGGGAACCUAUGCUUACAUCAAGAUGCCCUUCGGCCUGAAAAAUGCGGGGGCCACUUUUCAAAGGAUGGUGAACAAAGUCUUCGCCGAUCAGAUAGGCCGAAACAUGGAAUGUUACGUAGAUGAUAUGAUAGUGAAGUCCUUAUUUCAAGAUCACGCCGAUGACCUCAAGGAAUGCUUCGAGACCCUAAGACGGAACAACAUGAAGAUCAACCCCGCCAAGUGCACCUUCGGGGUUUGUAGUGGCAAGUUCCUAGGGUACAUGGUCAGCGCAAGGGGGAUCGAGGCGAAUCCCGAGAAGAUAAAGGCAGUGAUAGAAAUGGAAGCCCCGAAGACCAUUCGGGACAUUCAGAAGCUAACGGGGCGACUGGCAGCCCUCCGAAGGUUCAUCUCUCGGUCGGCAGAAAAGGCGCUCCCCUUCUUUGAAGUUUUGAAGGGAGCCAAGAAUUUUGAGUGGGGGCCGAACUGCAUAAAGGCCUUCGAAGAAAUAAAGGAAUAUCUGGUUAAAGCCCCUCUGCUGCUGAGGCCCGAUCCGAAGGAGACCCUCCAGUUGUACUUGGCAGUAAGUGACCGAACCCUUGGUGCGGUCUUGGUAAAGGAGCACGAGAAAAACCAACAUCCGGUCUUCUAUGUGUCUCAUAUGCUGAGGGAUGCCGAAACCCGAUACCCGAAUGCCGAGAAGUUCGCAUAUGGGCUGGUCAUGGCCUCCCGAAAAUUGCGACACUAUUUUCAAGGGCGAACGAUACAAGUGGUCACCGACCAACCUCUGAAGAAGAUUCUCAGCCGACCGGAGGCUUCGGGCAGAGUCGUCGCCUGGUCUGUAGAAUUGGGGGAAUACGACUUAGAGUAUGUUCCCCGAACAGCCAUUAAAGCCCAAGCCUUGGUUGACUUCAUGGUAGAGUGCCGUUUUUCCGGGCCGACGGACUUGGAACCGAAGGAACAGCUCAUUCGGACUCCUGGUAGGUGGAAGUUGUUUGUGGAUGGGUCGGUGGCCGGGUCAAAAUGUGGGGCCGGAUUGAUCCUUUCUAGUCCCGAUGGAUUUGAGAUUUGUCAAGCCAUCCGGUUCACUUUCCCUUUGACCAACAAUGAGGCCGAGUACGAAGCCCUCUUGGCAGGAGUGGGUCUAGCCAAAAAUCUGGAGGUAAGGCACUUGAGGGCUUUCAGCGACUCCAUGCUGGUUGUCAAGCACUUUUCUGGGGAGUAUGAACAGAAAGAGCCCCGAACGAAGGCUUACGCCGCUAAAGUACGCGAACAAACUCAGUUUUUCGAAACAUUUGAAUUGAGCGCCAUCGGUCGGGAAGACAAUGGCCGCGCCGAUGCUCUCUCUCGAUUAGCCUCGGCCGAAACACAGAAUUUGACGGGGUCCAUCUACUUGACGGAGGUAAAAAUGCCUUCGGUCGACAAGAAAGCUUGCCUGGAAAUUCAUCAAGGCAUAAAUUGGAUGACCCCCAUCAGAGCAUACUUGGAAAAAGGGUUCUUGCCCUUAGAGAAGAAGGAAGCCCAAAAGAUAAAGUACCGAGCAGCUAGCUACACACUGAUCGGGGGCCGACUCUUUAGGCGAUCAGUCUCUCAGCCGCUGCUCCGAUGCUUAGAUCCAGAAGAACAACUUCUAGCCCUGGAGACAGUUCAUGAAGGCAUCUGCGGCGAGCACCUGGCCGGCCGAUCCCUAGCCCUAAAGAUACUCCGACAGGGAUUCUUUUGGCCGACC
Molecule: long non-coding RNA, 9495 nt
Filed under: Daucus carota (carrot)
Lineage: Eukaryota; Viridiplantae; Streptophyta; Magnoliopsida; Apiales; Apiaceae
Description: long non-coding RNA (DCAR_LNC003212)
Source: RNAcentral